RNAcentral lists this ribosomal RNA (428 nucleotides) under Verrucomicrobiota bacterium. RNAcentral describes it as "Verrucomicrobia bacterium partial 16S ribosomal RNA". It matches the Rfam family "Bacterial small subunit ribosomal RNA", at positions 355 to 776 of the family's 1533-position model. Lineage: Bacteria; Pseudomonadati; Verrucomicrobiota. The record is from RNAcentral.
UAGGGAAUCUUCCGCAAUGGACGAAAGUCUGACGGAGCAACGCCGCGUGAGUGAAGAAGGAUUUCGGUUCGUAAAACUCUGUUGUUAGGGAAGAAAAAAUGUAUAGUAACUAUAUACAAAAGAGACGGUACCUAACCAGAAAGCCACGGCUAACUACGUGCCAGCAGCCGCGGUAAUACGUAGGUGGCAAGCGUUGUCCGGAAUUAUUGGGCGUAAAGGGUGCGUAGGUGGUCUUUCAAGUCGGUGGUUAAAGGCUACGGCUCAACCGUAGUUAGCCUCCGAAACUGGAAGACUUGAGUGCAGGAGAGGAAAGUGGAAUUCCCAGUGUAGCGGUGAAAUGCGUAGAUAUUGGGAGGAACACCAGUAGCGAAGGCGGCUUUCUGGACUGCAACUGACACUGAGGCACGAAAGCGUGGGUAGCAAACAGG